GGGGAUUAAAUUAAUCCAAAAAAAAAAGAAAAAAAGAAUGAGGAGGAGGAGGGGGAGGAGGAGAGAAGAACAAGAAGAAGAAGGAGGAGGAAGAGGAGAAAAAAGAGAAGGAGGAAGAGGCAACAUGAGGAAUGGAUCUGUCAUUUUCUUGCCAAAAGUUUACUCUCCUUAGUGAUAUAACCAAGUCAAUGGUUCACCUUAAAAUGACCUUUUAAAAUGAUGUAACAAGGUAUGAACAAGAGCUACCCUUUCUGGGGUCAUCAAAGUUUGGAUAAGGGGGCAAACAACUGUUGUCCCUGAUUUAGAGUUUUCAAAUGUGUUUGAUGCCAUCCACACACAAACCCAACUGUGGGAAUAGUGAAAACGUCUAAAAUUGAUUGAAACUGGAGGAUCCAUCUCUCCUCAUUUUUUGAUGCACCAAUUCAGAACAACAAAGCACCCUUCCUGAAAAUGAUGAUGAAAGGCGGCGAGGCAGCCCAGUGGUCAACCAGACUGAGAGGCGCUCCUGAAAUGUAAAGCCAGAUGUCUGCAUCCACCCUGGGACUCUGUUCAACACAGUCAACAACAAACAGUUGCCUGAAGAUUUCUGUUUGUGGAGUGAUCUGCAAGCAUGUCUGAUCAAAAGGAGUCACCACCAAGUGGUGUAAAACCUUCCUCUUCUCAACCCAUUAGCACUUCCAGCUCUUCUGAUUCAAAAGAGAAUCUCAUAGAAAAUUUACUAGACAACUUGCUUCCUGAAAUCCUUGUGACAGAAGAAAAAGAAGAAUCUUCUACAGAAAUAAGUCGCAAAAGGCCAGAGUUGCUGAUUCAGGAUACCACCAAAACUCCACCUCCUUCCACAGCUCCUUCCCUAUCUUUAGACUCUUUUACUUUUUCUCCAGUUAAAAGUGAUGACAAACAACUGAAAGUCCCAGGACUAGCACCAUUUUUAUCAAGCAGCUCAGAGGAAGCACUGUUCAAAGAAGGAUUGGAGGAUAUCCGGAAAAUAACAUCAGGGUUAGGCUUACCUUUCCUUUUAGGCUAUUCUGACGACUCUUCCAGCUCAUCUGGUUUUAUCCCAAUUCCACUGUCUGUUCCUCCGAAGCAACUUGAAGGCAAACUAUUACUGGUCCACGCAUCUCGUUCAGUGCACCGUGCCACUCAGACCUCCUGGUUAGAAAAUGACUCUGAUUUAUCUUCCACGGAAAACAUUACAUCUUCCACCACGGUUGUUACAAAAAAAAACGACAGUGCUGUUCGGUCAUGGGAUCAAGCAAGCUGCAGUCCAGAAAAGCAGGCUGAUAUGUAUAUUAAAGGAACAAGAAAUCCAUCACCUACCAGGACGUAUCAGACUGUGUUUAGGAGCAUCCUACAAGAAUUGCUAGAACGAGAAUUACAAGAAGCUGAUAUUGACGUGGCGCCCUCUGCUCGGCUAAAACAAGAUACCCGAAUGAGACUUGCCCACAUGUAAGUGGAUGGGUAUAUUUUGCAUUAUAAUUAAGGGGUCAGGCCAGAACAUAAGCCAAAGUGAAACACGAAUGGCCAGGGAAGGUUUAAAUGAAGUCUAGAGGGCCAGACACGCAGAUAUGCCGAGUCAAGCCCUAGAAGGUCAGUUGGUCUCUGCUCACCUGUAUGUAGUGAGGCCAGAAAAAGGUAGAUUGGAAAGGCACAGAAACACAUAUUACCCAGGACCAAAGAGAGAGCAGGAUCCAGAAAUCAGUCAGAAAAUGAGGUUUUGGAAGGGACAGACGAAAAAUUAGUAGGGAGGCAGCCUCAAAAGUAGGAAUCAAGUCCCUGCCAAAGAACAGGGCUAAAUCACAAGGUAAGGGUCCACGCAAGGACUCUAGGGUCAGAAAUCUAGGCAAAGAGUGACCUGCAAGGGAUCACAGCACAGGAAAGUGAUUGGCAAUGGCAAAGGCCAAAAAGGAGCUGGGGGAAAUGGGAAGGUGACAGGGAUCCAACCACCCACAGGUCAACCUGCUUUCAUAUAAACUUUAAAAAAUUUUUUCUGCGUUUUAAUUAAUUUAUUUAUUUUGAACAUUGUUUCUAAAUUUUUAGGAUCAAAUUCUCUCCUUCUACCAUGCCUACUGAGAAAGUAAGCAAAAUGAUAUAAAUUAUACAUAUGAAAUCAGGCAAAAAAGAUUUUUAUAUUGGCUAUAUUUCCCCAAAAAAGCAAGAAAAUAUAAAUGAGAAAAUUAUACUUCAAUUUUCACUCAGAGUUCAUCAGUUUUCUCUUUGGAAGUGGAUUGCAUUUUUUUCAUCAUGAAUCUUUUGGAAUUGUCUU
Long non-coding RNA from Monodelphis domestica (gray short-tailed opossum), 2263 nucleotides. The record is from Ensembl. NCBI's taxonomy places the organism in Eukaryota, Metazoa, Chordata, Mammalia, Didelphimorphia, Didelphidae.